AUUGAACGCUGGCGGUAUGCUUAACACAUGCAAGUCGAACGGUAACAGGCCUUCGGGCGCUGACGAGUGGCGGACGGGUGAGUAACGCGUAGGAAUCUGCCUCAUAGUGGGGGACAACGUGGGGAAACUCACGCUAAUACCGCAUACGCCCUACGGGGAAAGCGGGGAUCUUCGGACCUCGCGCUAUGAGAUGAGCCUGCGUUAGAUUAGCUAGUUGGUAGGGUAAAGGCCUACCAAGGCGACGAUCUAUAGCUGGUCUGAGAGGACGAUCAGCCACACUGGGACUGAGACACGGCCCAGACUCCUACGGGAGGCAGCAGUGGGGAAUAUUGGACAAUGGGCGCAAGCCUGAUCCAGCAAUACCGCGUGUGUGAAGAAGGCCUUAGGUUGUAAAGCACUUUCAAUUAGGGAGGAAAACCGUACGCCGGUCAAUACCCGGUAGCUUGACAUUACC
Molecule: ribosomal RNA, 454 nt
Filed under: uncultured bacterium
Lineage: Bacteria
Description: bacterial SSU rRNA
Rfam family: Bacterial small subunit ribosomal RNA
Source: RNAcentral